This 257-nucleotide ribosomal RNA is filed under the name uncultured bacterium. RNAcentral's name for it is "partial 16S ribosomal RNA". It matches the Rfam family "Bacterial small subunit ribosomal RNA", at positions 793 to 1055 of the family's 1533-position model. The record is from RNAcentral.
GUCCACGCCCUAAACGAUGUCUACUUGCUGUUGGGGCAACCUUAGUAGCGAAGCUAACGCGAGAAGUAGACCGCCUGGGGAGUACGGUCGCAAGAUUAAAACUCAAAGGAAUUGACGGGGACCCGCACAAGCGGUGGAUGAUGUGGAUUAAUUCGAUGCAACGCGAAGAACCUUACCUGCUCUUGACAUGUGCGGAAGACUACAGAGAUGUGGUUGUGCCUUCGGGAACCGUAACACAGGUGCUGCAUGGCUGUCGU